AGUGAACGCUGGCGGUAGGCCUAACACAUGCAAGUCGAACGGCAGCACAGUAAGAGCUUGCUCUUACGGGUGGCGAGUGGCGGACGGGUGAGGAAUACAUCGGAAUCUACUUUUUCGUGGGGGAUAACGUAGGGAAACUUACGCUAAUACCGCAUACGACCUACGGGUGAAAGCAGGGGAUCUUCGGACCUUGCGCGAUUGAAUGAGCCGAUGUCGGAUUAGCUAGUUGGCGGGGUAAAGGCCCACCAAGGCGACGAUCCGUAGCUGGUCUGAGAGGAUGAUCCGCCACACUGGAACUGAGACACGGUCCAGACUCCUACGGGAGGCAGCAGCGGGGAAUAUUGGACAAUGGGCGCAAGCCUGAUCCAGCCAUACCGCGUGGGUGAAGAAGGCCUUCGGGUUGUAAAGCCCUUUUGUUGGGAAAGAAAAGCAGCAGGUUAAUACCCCGCUGUUCUGACGGUACCCAAAGAAUAAGCACCGGCUAACUUCGUG
RNAcentral lists this ribosomal RNA (492 nucleotides) under uncultured bacterium. RNAcentral describes it as "partial 16S ribosomal RNA". It matches the Rfam family "Bacterial small subunit ribosomal RNA", at positions 29 to 507 of the family's 1533-position model. The record is from RNAcentral.